Molecule: non-coding RNA, 21 nt
Filed under: Caenorhabditis elegans
Lineage: Eukaryota; Metazoa; Nematoda; Chromadorea; Rhabditida; Rhabditidae
Source: RNAcentral
UUCAAUUUUACUGCAUGGUUU